This 494-nucleotide ribosomal RNA is filed under the name uncultured marine bacterium. Its description in RNAcentral is "bacterial SSU rRNA". It matches the Rfam family "Bacterial small subunit ribosomal RNA", at positions 8 to 492 of the family's 1533-position model. The record is from RNAcentral.
AGAGUUUGAUCCUGGCUCAGGAUGAACGCUAGCGGCAGGCCUAACACAUGCAAGUCGAGGGGCAGCGGGGAUAAGCUUGCUUAUCCGCCGGCGACCGGCGCACGGGUGCGCAACGCGUAUAGAAUCUGCCCUGUACUGGGGAAUAGCCCAGAGAAAUUUGGAUUAAUGCCCCAUGGUAUGUAUUAGCGGCAUCGCUUAUACAUUAAAGGCUACGGUACAGGAUGACUAUGCGUCCCAUUAGUUAGUUGGUAAGGUAACGGCUUACCAAGGCAGCGAUGGGUAGGGGCCCUGAGAGGGGGAUCCCCCACACUGGUACUGAGACACGGACCAGACUCCUACCGGGAGGCAGCAGUGAGGAAUAUUGGACAAUGGGCGGGAGCCUGACCCAGCCAUGCCGCGUGCAGGAAGACGGUCCUAUGGAUUGUAAACUGCUUUUGUACGGGAAGAACAAGGGGGCACGUGUGCCCCUCUGACGGGUACCGUAAGAAUAAGGA